RNAcentral lists this ribosomal RNA (435 nucleotides) under uncultured bacterium. Its description in RNAcentral is "bacterial SSU rRNA". It matches the Rfam family "Bacterial small subunit ribosomal RNA", at positions 29 to 508 of the family's 1533-position model. The record is from RNAcentral.
AGUGAACGCUAGCGGCGCGCCUAACACAUGCAAGUCGAGUGGGUUUAGACCCACGGCAAACGGCUGCGUAACACGUUGGAACCUGCCCCGAACUCAGGGAUAUCCCUCCGAAAGGAGGAGUAAUACCGGAUGCCCUCGGAAGAGGAAAGAUUUAUCGGUUCGGGAGGGGCCUGCGGCCUAUCAGCUCGUUGGUGAGGUAACGGCUCACCAAGGCAAUGACGGGUAGCUGAUCUGAGAGGAUGAUCAGCCAGAAUGGAACUGCGACACGGUCCAUACUCCUACGGGAGGCAGCAGUGAGGAAUCUUCCGCAAUGGACGAAAGUCUGACGGAGCGACGCCGCGUGGUGGAUGAAGGCCUUUACUGGUCGUAAACACCUGUUCUGAGGGACGAAAUUUUUGACGGUACCUCAGGAGAAAGUAUCGGCAAACCCUGUGC